Molecule: non-coding RNA, 6609 nt
Organism: Globicephala melas (long-finned pilot whale)
Lineage: Eukaryota; Metazoa; Chordata; Mammalia; Artiodactyla; Delphinidae
Source: RefSeq, a predicted model, not a curated record
CAAGGCUGGGCUGGGAAGUGGCGGAUCCGGUUUGUUCAGGGCGCAUCUAGAACCCGGGUUGGUGGAUCGAAUGCCGGGAGUCGGAUAGGUUUCGGUGGCUGCGGCAGCAUGGUGGGUGCAGAGAAGGAGCAGAGCUGGAUCCCCAAGAUCUUCAAGAAGAAGACGUGCACGACUUUCAUCGUUGACCCCACAGAUGCGGGGGGGACCUUGUGCCAGUGUGGGCAACCCCGGUGUGCCCACCCAUCAGUGGCUGUGGAGGAUGCAUUCGGGGCAGCCGUGGUGACCGUAUGGGACAGUGACUUGCACACCACGGAGAAGCCCACAGAUGCCUUCGGAGACCUGGACUUCCUGGGUGCCGGCCGCAAGGCCAGCAAUUUCCUCCGGCUCUCUGACCGCACGGAUCCAGCUACAGUUUAUAAUCUGGUCACAAACAUAUGGGGCUUCCAGGCCCCGAACCUGGUGGUGUCAGUGCUGGGGGGGUCGGGGGGCCCCACCCUCCAGACUUGGCUGCAGGACCUGCUGCGACGCGGGCUGGUGCGGGCUGCCCAGAACACAGGGGCCUGGAUUGUCACCGGAGGGCUGCACAAGGGCAUUGGACGGCAUGUGGGUGUGGCAGUGCGGGACCACCAGACAGCCAGGACUGGGGGCAACAAGGUGGUGGCCAUGGGCGUGGCCCCCUGGGGUGUGGUUCGGAAUAGAGACACCCUCAUCAACCCCAAGGGCUCGUUUCCUGCAAGGUACCGGUGGCGCGGUGACCCCGAGGAUGGGGUCCAGUUUGCUCUCGACUACAACUAUUCGGCCUUCCUUCUGGUGGACGACGGCACCCACGGCCGCCUGGGCGGCGAGAACCGCUUCCGCUUGGGCUUCGAGUCCUACCUUGCCCAACAGAAGACGGGCGUGGGAGGGACUGGAAUUGACAUCCCUGUCCUCCUUCUCUUGAUUGAUGGUGAUGAAAAGAUGUUGAAGCGGAUAGAGAAGGCCACCCAGGCUCAGCUCCCCUGCCUCCUGGUGGCCGGGUCUGGGGGAGCUGCAGACUGCCUGGCAGAGAUCUACACUCUGGCUCCAGGGAGUGGAGGAGGCAGGCGAUGUGAAGCCCAAGAUCUGAUUAAACGUUUCUUCCCCAAAGGGGACCCUGAGGUCCUACAGGCCCAGGUGGAGAGGAUCAUGAGUCGGAAGGAGCUGCUGACAGUCUAUUCAACUGAUGAUGGCCCUGAGGAAUUUGAGACCAUUGUUUUGAAGGCCCUUGUCAAGGCCUGUGGGACCUCUGAAGCCUCAGCUUACCUGGAUGAGUUGCGUUUGGCUGUGGCUUGGAACCGUGUGGACAUUGCCCAGAGUGAACUCUUCCGGGGGGAUAUCCAGUGGCGGUCUUUCCACCUGGAAGCCUCCCUCAUGGACGCCCUUCUGAAUGACCGGCCAGAGUUCGUGCGCUUGCUCAUCUCCCAUGGCCUUAGCCUGGGCCACUUCCUGACCCCUACGCGCCUGGCCCAGCUCUACAACGCAGCGCCCCCGAACUCACUUAUCCACAGCCUUUUGGACCAGGUGUCCCACAGCACAGGCAACAAAGGCCCAGUCUCUGAACCCUCUGCGGAGCCACAACCCCCUAAGGUGGGGCAGGUGCUGCGGAUGCUGCUGGGGAAGUCGUGCGCGCCGACGUUCCCCGCCGGGGGCACCCACCUGGGCGAUGGCAGCAUGGAAAAUUCGUUUCUGCCGUGGGACAAGGCCACCUCAGAAUUUCUGCUGGAAGCCGUCCCCGAGCAGGCACCCUGGAGUGACCUGCUCCUCUGGGCACUGCUGCUCAACAGGGCUCAGAUGGCCGUGUACUUCUGGGAGAUGGGUUCCAGUUCUGUGGCCUCAGCUCUUGGGGCCUGUUUGUUGCUGCGAGUGCUGGGGCGCCUGGAGGCUGAGACUGAGGAGGCAGCACGGAGGAAGGACCUGGCAGCCAAGUUUGAGGGGCUGGGUGUUGACCUCUUUGGAAAAUGCUACCGCAGCAGCGAGGAACGGGCUGCUCACCUGCUCCUCUGGCGCUGCCCACUCUGGGGGGAUGCCACCUGCCUCCACCUUGCCAUGCAGGCUGACGCCCGUGCCUUCUUUGCCCAGGAUGGGGUACAGUCUCUGCUGACACAGAAGUGGUGGGGGGAGAUGGACAGCACCACACCCAUCUGGGCCCUGGUUCUCGCCUUCUUUUGCCCCCCACUCAUCUACACCAACCUCAUCACCUUCAGGAAGCCAGAUGAGGAGCCCAUGCAGAAGGACCUGGCAUUUGACAUGGACAGGGGCAUCAGUGGGGAAGGGCCUGGCGAGCCCACAGACCCUAAUGAGAAGAUGCCCUUGAGGGUGUUGAGGCCGCCCAGCCGCAGGAGCUGCUGUGGGGGGUGCCGCCUGCGCCGCUGGCCCCAGUUCUGGGGAGCACCGGUGACUUCCUUCAUGGGCAACGUGGUCAGCUACCUCCUCUUCCUGCUGCUCUUCACCCACGUGCUGCUCAUUGACUUCCAGCCCGAGAAACCCAGCGCUCUGGAGCUACUGCUCUACUUCUGGGCCUUCACCCUGCUCUGUGAGGAGUUACGCCAGGGGCUGGGUGACAGCUUGGGCAGCCUGGCCAUGGGGGCCCCCAGGACAGACUCCCACCAGGCCCCACUGCGCCGCCGCCUGCACCUCUACCUCUCAGACGCCUGGAACCAGUGCGACAUGGUGGCCCUGACCUGCUUCCUCAUGGGCGUGGGCUGCCGGCUGACCGCAGGACUGUAUGACCUGGGCCGUACUGUCCUCUGCCUCGACUUCAUGAUCUUCACGCUGAGGCUGCUGCACAUCUUCACAGUCAACAAACAUCUGGGGCCCAAGAUCGUCAUCGUGAACAAGAUGAUGAAGGACGUGUUCUUCUUCCUCUUCUUCCUUGGCGUGUGGCUGGUUGCCUAUGGGGUGGCCACGGAGGGGCUCCUUAGGCCCCAGGACCGUAACCUCUCGAAUAUCCUGCGCCGGGUCUUCUACCGGCCCUACCUGCAGAUCUUUGGGCAGAUCCCCCAGGAGGACAUAGACGCGAGCCUCAUGAAGCCCGACAACUGUUCAUCGGAGAAGGGCAUAUGGGCGCGCCCCUCAGGGACCCAGGCAGGCUCCUGCGUCUCGAUUUAUGCCAACUGGCUGGUGGUGGUCCUCCUCAUCAUCUUCCUGCUCGUGGCCAACAUCCUGCUGGUCAAUUUGCUCAUCGCGAUGUUCAGCUAUACCUUCGGCAAAGUACAGGCCAACAGCGACCUCUACUGGAAGGCGCAGCGCUACAGCCUCAUCCGGGAAUUUCACUCUCGGCCCGCACUGGCCCCGCCUCUCAUCGUCAUCUCGCACGUGUGCUUACUCAUCCGUCGAUUGCGCAGGCUCCGGACCAGCUUGCCACCUUCCGCAGCCGUCGAGCAUUUUCGGGUCCACCUCUCGAAGGAAGCGGAGCGGAAGCUGUUGACGUGGGAGUCAGUGCAAAAGGAGAGUUUCCUGCUGGAGCGAGCUCGGGACAAGCGGGAGAGCGACUCUGAAAGUCUGAAGCGCACGUCGCAGAAGGUGGACACAGCACUGCAGCAGCUGAGACAGAUCCGCGAGCACGAGCAGCGUCUGAAAGGACUGGAACAGGAGGUCCUCCCUGUUCCCCAGGUCCAGUACUGUAGCCGUGUCCUGGGCUGGGUAGCCGAGGCCCUGAGCCGCUCUGCAUUACUUCCCCCAGGGGGGCCGCCGCCCCCAGCCUCACCUGGGCCUAAAGACUCAGCCCUGCUGGUGGACUUCAAAGAGGAGCUGCCAUAGGGAGUUUUGGUCCCAGAGUAAGGCCUAGCAGGUCCUUGACCCCUGCACCUCGCGACCUUGUCCUUGAGGUGAACCUCAUGCCCAUGGACUACCACCUCAGCUGCUGUCACGAUCACUGCAGGGAGUGUCAUCCAUGCAAACCACAGCAGGCUUGGAUCCUCCCAGAACCAGCCCUACUCUGGGAGCAUGAGCCGCUGGAGCCCAGGCAUUCAUUGCCUUUCAAGGCUGUACCACAGUCUGCUGGGCCAGAGAAGGCUGCAGGGUCAUUGAGGCCCAGCACCUCUUGUCUGCACUAUUUUGAUGACUCUCACUUCAGUGGGACAAGAACCCCAACCAUCUGUACCCCCCCAUUCCUGCCUACCAAUGAAAGAAGAACUCAGAGAUAAAAAGGAGAGUAUUUCCUGGAGUGGGGGUGGGUGGGUGCUAUGUACAUCUGCUUUGGCAAUAGGGGUACAGAUGAUGCAAAUUUGAGUAGAUAACUGCAUAUGUGUCUUUAAAAAGUCUAAUUAGUGGAAAAUUGCAGGCCAUGCACGCACGGAAUUGAGGCAAAUAUGCAUCAUUAUACAUGCCGUUUAACUAAACAACCCAUAACAAACUAAACUGGUAAUGACAAGGUUGAACUGACAGCAAUUAUUAGUAAAAUAGCAAAAAAGCCACCAACAACCAACACAUCCAUAAAUGCAAACCAAAACAUCCUUUUUCCAAAUUGGAGGAAUUCCAACUGUCUGCCACUUUGGAUGCAGAGUAGCUCUGAAAUAUUGCCAAGUGUUUUGUGGCAACCAGAUUUCUCUGGAAGAUGCUGAAUCAAUUCUCACUAACACAAGUAGUAAUAAUAACAGUAAUGACGACGGUGGCAACAACAACAGCUAACACGAGUGCUAUGUGUCUGGCAUUGUGUUUAAGUUCUUCACAGGUGCUAAAUCAAGGAAUUCUCAUGACAACCAUAUAUUAGGUAGGUACUAAUGUCUCCAUUUGCAGAUAAGAAAACUGAGGCACUAAUAAAAGUUAAGUGACUCACACAAGGUCUCACAGCUAGAAAGUGGCCGAGUUUGAAUAGGAAUCUGGGCCAUCUGGAUCCAGAGCCUUUGUAAAGCACUAAUUUAUAUUUAGAAAUGUUAAAUGUUACGAAGCCCUAGGAAUUCACUCAGUGGGCAUGCUGCUUUAUUAAGCUGUUGUCUCUCAGCUCCAAAUCUGCCCUUCUGUAUACUCAGCUCUGUGACGCUGGGGCUGGGACUCCGCAAGCCCCAUUUGUUUUGCCAGCUGGGUUCCUAUUAGACUCUGCCUAGAGGGGGCGCUAGAGGGAGAACGGUGACUGGAGGAGGAAGAGGGGAUUUGCUGCUUCCUAUUCCUGAGCGUAGCCCCAGAGCAUUGCUUUCUCUGGUUGCAGCUUUCAGCUUCCCCCGCCCCAGCACUCCCACAAGUUCUGUUUAUGCCCUCAGUCACACCCGCUCCAUCCAGGCAGCCCCUUUAUCUAGCCUGAGUUUCAGCUCCCAGGGUCACGUCUCCAAGAGUUUAGGUUCUGAUAACUCUGUUCUCUCCAGUCCUGGGGGUGAUAUUUGCUUCGUGCAGUUUACUAUUUCUGUGCUAACUCUGCUUCUUUAUAUUUAUUUACCAGUUUUCUGAGACCCGUUUAAUAUAUCUGAGACCCCUGUAUUAAUUUAUUUCUGUUGGAGAGAUACAACCUCCACUUCAUUUCCACACAUAAAUCAGUUUGGAAACCAAAAGACCUGUAAUUGAAGAGGAGGCUAGGCGCUCUUGAGGAAUUACAAAAUACUGCUAAAAUUUAUAUUUAAAUCUUUCUUACUUGUAUAUUUUCCCGCAGUGAACCUACUUCACUUCUCUGUUGCACAGCCCUAGUACAGUGGGAAUCCUGGCCCCUUAAAAUGACAAUUGGUGACCACAAAUGUCUCCACUUGUCUUGGUGCUGUGUUUUUGGAAGCCACACCACAGAGUUUAACUGGGCCAUUACAAAGGUGGAAGAUACUUCCUUUUAGGAGUGAGGAGGACCUCUUGCAGGUCACCAGCAAGGCCAGUAAGUGACUGGGUGUCCAUUAACCAAGAGUGAGCAGCAUAGCCAUGAUCUGCUACUCUAGGGUCCUCCGGAGGGGUUGCUGAGGGCAUGCAACAGCUGUGGCAUUCACUAGCCUGUGAUCCAAAAGAACCCAUAAGAUAUCUGCUCCAGUCUCAGAUGUGGGAAGGGAGUGACUGUCAGUAGAAUAUGUAAGCCACUAAAAUCUUAAACAAAUAAGUCAUUUGAAAGAGAGGUGUAUUUUAUACAAAAAUGAAAACUCCAGAUAAGAGGCUGCAGGUCGUCAGAGAAAAGGAGGCAGCAGGGUGGAGUGAGGACUCUAGAAUGCAUGUGCUUUGUGAAGGCUGAGGACCUGCUACAUUAAAGGGACAAGUGGGGCUAGAGGAGACAGCUGUAAAGGCUGCUCAAAGCUGCCGCCAAAAACUGGAAUGGAUUUGGUAGCUCCUGUGAAGCCUACUUAGACAAGCCAAGGGGCUGAUACGCAAACCUAGAUUGAAUUAGAGAAAACUGGGUAUCGGAUAUGUUUUUGUUUCUCUUGGGUAAACACCUAAGAUUGGGGUGUCUGGGUUGUAUAAUAAGCGGGAUCUUAGUUCCCCAACCAGGGAUUGAACCCGGGCCCCGACAGUGAAAGUGCCGAGUCCUAACCACUGGACUACCAGGGAAUUCCACUGUAUAACUUUAUCUGAGGCUGCUUAACUCUUUUCCUAAGUGGUUGCACAUUUUACAUUUCCAUCAGCAAUGUUAUGAGAGAAUUUCAGUUGCUCUGCAUCCUCACUAGCACUUGCUAUUAUCAGUAUUUUAAA